Molecule: long non-coding RNA, 583 nt
Filed under: Bos indicus x Bos taurus (hybrid cattle)
Lineage: Eukaryota; Metazoa; Chordata; Mammalia; Artiodactyla; Bovidae
Description: lncRNA (ENSBIXG00005028308.1)
Source: RNAcentral
AGCAGCUCUGGAAAAGGCUGACCUGAGAUCUUCCUGUUGCCACAGGUGGGGAUCCGUUCCUCUCAGAGGCCCUGUUCCUACAGACACACUGUGAAGGUGUCUUGAGCACAGGUCAUCACCCUCUUUUGGAUCUUCGAGAGAACCUGGCCACUGUAAUGCACCUGAGAGGUUGAAAGCCCUGUCUUUAACAGGACGAUGAGUCAGGGCACAGCAGUGUAAGCCCGUCAUUGGGGAACAUGCCAAAGAAUAUCCAGAAGAGAUCCCUAAAGCAGAACAUUUCAAGAGUCCUAGGUAUCCACUUGCAAUAGGAGGAGCCUCAAUCCAUCUGAGGACAACAUUACCAGGAAGAGAAUGAUGCACACAACAGAGAUGAAGUCUGUGAGUGGUUUCCAGGUGGGAGAGGUGUAACAGAAAAGCCAGCCUCCUGGUCAGGGUUCGUCUAGCUCUGAGGAAAAAGCUCGAGGACUGUGGCUGAGAAGGAAGGAGCCUCUAGGGCUGGACACAGAUGUCUAAUGUGAGCUUGAAGUGCUUCGUGAAGCUUGAGGGUAAGGCCUGACCUGCAACCUGCCCCGCUGCAGCUCAG